RNAcentral lists this ribosomal RNA (253 nucleotides) under uncultured bacterium. RNAcentral describes it as "partial 16S ribosomal RNA". It matches the Rfam family "Bacterial small subunit ribosomal RNA", at positions 524 to 776 of the family's 1533-position model. The record is from RNAcentral.
UACGGGGGGGGCAAGCGUUGUUCGGAAUUACUGGGCGUAAAGGGCUCGUAGGCGGCCAACUAAGUCCGACGUGAAAUCCCCAGGCUUAACCUGGGAACUGCGUCGGAUACUGGAUGGCUUGAGUUCGGGAGAGGGAUGCGGAAUUCCAGGUGUAGCGGUGAAAUGCGUAGAUAUCUGGAGGAACACCGGUGGCGAAGGCGGCAUCCUGGACCGACACUGACGCUGAGGAGCGAAAGCCAGGGGAGCAAACGGG